Molecule: ribosomal RNA, 233 nt
Filed under: uncultured bacterium
Lineage: Bacteria
Description: partial 16S ribosomal RNA
Rfam family: Bacterial small subunit ribosomal RNA
Source: RNAcentral
UACGUAGGGUGCAAGCGUUGUCCGGAAUUAUUGGGCGUAAAGAGCUCGUAGGCGGUCUGUCGCGUCUGCUGUGAAAACUCGGGGCUUAACCCCGGGCCUGCAGUGGGUACGGGCAGACUAGAGUGCGGUAGGGGAGACUGGAAUUCCUGGUGUAGCGGUGAAAUGCGCAGAUAUCAGGAGGAACACCGGUGGCGAAGGCGGGUCUCUGGGCCGUAACUGACGCUGGAGGAGCG